CAUAUCAAUAAGCGGAGGAAAAGAAACCAACAGGGAUUGCCCUAGUAACGGCGAGUGAAGCGGCAACAGCUCAAAUUUGAAAUCUGGCUCUUUUAGGGUCCGAGUUGUAAUUUGCAGAGAGCGCUUUGGCGUUGGCAGCGGUCCAAGUUCUUUGGAACAGGACGUCACAGAGGGUGAGAAUCCCGUACGUGGUCGCUAGCCUUCGCCGUGUAAAGCCUCUUCGACGAGUCGAGUUGUUUGGGAAUGCAGCUCUAAAUGGGAGGUAAAUUUCUUCUAAAGCUAAAUACUGGCCAGAGACCGAUAGCGCACAAGUAGAGUGAUCGAAAGAUGAAAAGCACUUUGGAAAGAGAGUCAAAUAGCACGUGAAAUUGUUGAAAGGGAAGCGCUUGCAGCCAGACUUGCCUGUAGUUGCUUAUCUGGACUUUUGUCCGGUGCACUCUUCUGCGGGCAGGCCAGCAUCAGUUUAGGCGGUUGGAUAAAGGUCUCUAUCACGUACCUCCCUUCGGGGUUGGCCUUAUAGGGGAGACGACAUGCAGCCAGCCUGAACUGAGGUCCGCGCAUCUGCUAGGAUGCUGGCGUAAUGGCUGUAAGCGGCCCGUCUUGAAACACGGACCAAGGAGUCUAACAUCUAUGCGAGUGUUUGGGUGUCAAGCCCAGACGCGUAAUGAAAGUGAACGGAGGUGGGAACCUUUUAGGUGCACCAUCGACCGAUCCUGAUGUCUUCGGAUGGAUUUGAGUAAGAGCAUGGCUGUUGGGACCCGAAAGAUGGUGAACUAUGCUUGAAUAGGGUGAAGCCAGAGGAAACUCUGGUGGAGGCUCGCAGCGGUUCUGACGUGCAAAUCGAUCGUCAAAUUUGGGCAUAGGGGCGAAAGACUAAUCGAAC
Molecule: ribosomal RNA, 883 nt
Filed under: Poaceicola arundinicola
Lineage: Eukaryota; Fungi; Ascomycota; Dothideomycetes; Pleosporales; Phaeosphaeriaceae
Description: eukaryotic LSU rRNA
Rfam family: Eukaryotic large subunit ribosomal RNA
Source: RNAcentral